Molecule: long non-coding RNA, 1446 nt
Organism: Hordeum vulgare subsp. vulgare (domesticated barley)
Lineage: Eukaryota; Viridiplantae; Streptophyta; Magnoliopsida; Poales; Poaceae
Exons: 2
Source: RefSeq, a predicted model, not a curated record
GCGCCGCGGUUUGCAGCAUGGGGUCCCAAGGUUCAUAGAUCGAAUGAGAGGAAGAAGAAAGGAAAGGAGAGAAAGAAAAAUAAAGAGACGAUUGAUGGCGGGCCAGAUGAUAGGAGGAGGGACCGUGGGCUGAAACGAGAUAUAGCUGUUGGUUACCACGUGCUAUGAAUCUAGGAGUACAGGGAAUAAACUCCCUCCGUCCCGUAAUUCUUGUCGCCAGGGCAAUUUUACGAAAAGUUUCUCCCGACCAAACCCGUGCUACUCGUCGCCCUCCUCCGACAGAUGCCCCAGCUACGCUGCUUCCCACCGCUGUAGCUGCCCUACUCCCCGCCGCCGCAAUUGCCGCUCGCGUGCCGCAGCUCCCAACUUUCCCCCUCCUCAUAAAAACAUUGAUUUCCUCACCUACCGCCGUGCUUUGCUCCGGCUGCGUUGGAAUCGGCGUCGGCGAGCCCGGAAUCGCUGGAUCCUUACCAACACCAACAAUCUACAGGCUGACGAGCCGGACGAUGACAGGAGAUGCAACAAGCUCCGACUAGUCCGACGACGGGCGACCGGAGAUGCAACAAGCUCCGACUAGUCCGAUGACGGCGACCGGAGGAAUACGACUACGACGUCUUCUUCGUUGUUUCUCCGGUGGAAGACCCGCGCCUACGACACCGUGGCUGGGCUGUCCAGUGGGUCGCGCCUGCUCACUUGGCCUACAGCCCGGGUCUUGUCCACCACCAACGCGGCAACACCUACAGCCUGGGUUGUGAAGCAGUAAGGAAAAUCAUGGAGUAAUCCUAUACCCUGUCUGCUGCUGUUUGUGGUGUGUAUUUGUCUAACUGCUCAAAUAAUUCAGCAUGUGAUGCAUCAUCUACUCAUUCUGUAUAGGAAUAGGAGUAGCCACAACUACAACAGGAGCAAGGGUAACACUAUAACAGUGUCCUUGGAGUAGCAGCUUGAUCAGGGGAGCAGCAGCACGAGCCUGGCGAUACCGGAGAAGGAGGAGGACUAGCUUGACGUCCAGGCAUGCGCGGGAGCUUGAUGAGGACGAGAUCCACCGGAUCUUGGCGGUGUAGGUCCUGGGCGGCAGCGGCGGAGGGGAUCGCGGAGGGAGUGGAUCACGGCGGCGCACGUACUGGGCGGCGGGACACGUACUAGAGGUGAAGGAGCACGUAUUGGAGGUGGAGGAGCACGUACUGGGCGGCGGAGGCACACGAACUGGUGGCGGAGGAGCAUGCCUUGGGUGACGCAGGCGGCAAAUUGGUGGGCGACGGCCUUGGCCUGACGCGCGGAAGCUGGGUCGGUCGGAGGAAGACGGAAUGACCUCUUUGUAAACAAUUACUAGAAGAUACUAUAAGUUUUAAAUUUUUUUUACAUUACACUAUGCUUGCGACAUUAAUUACGGGACGGAGGGAGCACAAAAUAACAUGUUCGUUCAAAACACGAUACAUUUGGUUUGUA